RNAcentral lists this ribosomal RNA (484 nucleotides) under uncultured bacterium. RNAcentral describes it as "partial 16S ribosomal RNA". It matches the Rfam family "Bacterial small subunit ribosomal RNA", at positions 30 to 507 of the family's 1533-position model. The record is from RNAcentral.
AUUGAACGCUGGCGGCAUGCUUUACACAUGCAAGUCGAACGGCAGCGCGGUCUUCGGUCUGUCUGCGGGUGGCCAACUGGUGAGUAAUUCAUCGGAACGUGCCCAUCUGUUUUUUCUUGCCCGGCGACAUCCGGAUUCUUACCCCAUUCCCCCUGACGGUGUACGCGUGGGACCGAAAGGUCUUGGGCCCUUGCACCAUUCGAUGUCGGAUUAGCUAGUUGGUGGGGUAAAGGCGUACCAAGGCGACGAUCCGUAGCUGGUCUGAGAGGACGACCAGCCACACUGGGACUGAGACACGGCCCAGACUCCUACGGGAGGCAGCAGUGGGGAAUAUUGGACAAUGGGGGCAAGCCUGAUCCAGCCAUGCCGCGUGCGGGAAGAAGGCCUUCGGGUUGUAAAGCGCUUUUGUUCGGGAAGAAAACCUCUGGGCUAAUACCCCGGGGGGAUGACGGUACCGGAAGAAUAAGCACCGGCUAACUACGUG